This 274-nucleotide ribosomal RNA is filed under the name uncultured bacterium. Its description in RNAcentral is "partial 16S ribosomal RNA". It matches the Rfam family "Bacterial small subunit ribosomal RNA", at positions 523 to 796 of the family's 1533-position model. The record is from RNAcentral.
AUACGAAGGGCCCGAGCGUUAAGCGGAAUCACUGGGCUUAAAGCGUACGUAGGCGGGCUAAUAAGCAUAUUGUGAAAUCCCACGGCUCAACCGUGGAACUGCAGUGUGAACUGUUAGUCUUGAGGUCGGUAGGGGCUGUCGGAACGAUAGGUGGAGCGGUGAAAUGCGUAGAUAUCUAGAGGAACGCCAGAGGCGAAAGCGGAGCACUGGGCCGAUUCUGACGCUGAGGCCCGAAAGCGUGGGGAGCAAACAGGAUUAGAAACCCCAGUAGUCC